AGUGAACGCUGGCGGUAGGCCUAACACAUGCAAGUCGAACGGCAGCACAGUAAGAUCUUGCUCUUACUGUUGGCGAGUGGCGGACGGGUGAGGAAUACAUCGGAAUCUACUUUUUCGUGGGGGACAACGUGGGGAAAGUUAUACUAAUAGCUCAUAUGAUCUACGGGUGAAAUCAGGGGAGCUUGGGAGUUUGGGUGAUUGUAUGAGCCGAUGUCGGAUUAGCUAGUUGGCAGGGUAACGGCCCACCAAGGCAACGAUCCGUAGCUGGUCUGAGAGGAUGAUCGGCCACACUGGAACUGAGACACGGUCCAGACUCCUACGGGAGGCAGCAGUGGGGAAUAUUGGACAAUGGGCGCAAGCCUGAUCCAGCCAUGCCGCGUGAGUGAAGAAGGCCUUCGGGUUGUAAAGCCCUUUUAUUGGGAAAGAACAGCAGCAGAUGAAUCCCCCCCUGUUCUGACGGUACCUAAACAGUAAGCCCCGGCUAACUUCGUG
This 492-nucleotide ribosomal RNA is filed under the name uncultured bacterium. RNAcentral's name for it is "partial 16S ribosomal RNA". It matches the Rfam family "Bacterial small subunit ribosomal RNA", at positions 29 to 507 of the family's 1533-position model. The record is from RNAcentral.